This is a long non-coding RNA of Macaca mulatta (Rhesus monkey), 1470 nucleotides long. RefSeq lists it as uncharacterized. The record is from RefSeq and is a predicted model, not a curated record. Lineage: Eukaryota; Metazoa; Chordata; Mammalia; Primates; Cercopithecidae.
CUCCUCCGCCAGCCGCGGGCGAGCCAAGAAAGGGGAGAGCAAAGCACCGGGCGGAGGGGAGGGGGCGCGAGGAGGAGGCGGAGAUUCCGGGGACAAGGUCGGUUCGGCCCGAGACUGAAAGAAACUGGGAGCCAGGCGGGGGCGGCGGAAGCGCGAGUCCAGAACUGAGCCCGGCGGGGCCGUGCGCGGCGAGGCUGCUCCCGGUCCGCUGCGCGGAUGGACGGCGGGCCGGAGCCCCGGGCCGGGGCGGAUCCGGGCACAGCGGGCGCCGCACUCCCGCAAACAGGGCCGUGGACCCCGCGGGCCGUGGCUCUCCCCCGAGGCGCGCCCUCUGAGCUGCUGCCUGUGGACUGCGGCACGGAGGCUGCAGAACUUCGCGGCCGCCCGACUGACGGGGUCUGCCCUGGUUUAUUUAUUUUUAUCUUUUUUUAAAGUAAGAGUGCAGAAGGCUUCCCCUCCUCUCACGCCACCUCUCCAAAGAGGGCCAAUGUGGGUGACUUUCUGAGUGGUCCCCAAAGCAGAUCCCGAGGCCUGCGCGUCGCGAAUCUUCUCUGCCAGGGCGCUGGUGGAGUAGUUUCUCAGCUGGUGCCUCUGGCCCAGCGAAUCCUGCCUGAUGGCGGUGGUUCUGGAACGCCCUGUGGAUUCGCCCUAAGGCCUUGUAGGCCCGGGGACUCUGGGGAUAUUGUAUAAAGCAGGAAAAUACGUAAAUGCGUUCCAGGGGGAAGGUAGCGUGGCCGAGCGGUCUAAGGCGCUGGAUUAAGGCUCCAGUCUCUUCGGAGGCGUGGGUUCGAAUCCCACCGCUGCCAGCUUGGCGUGGUUUGUCCAUUUUUGUCCCCCCAUAGGUUACAAAAGGAGGAUUCGUUGGAACUUUCCUCGGGCCCCACGCUUGCUCGGGAUCUGGAUUCCAUUUGGCAGCGCGCAGCCGUCCAGUGGACGGGCUUUGUAGGGAGUUCCUCGGACCUGGUGUUCACAGCAAGUGAGAAAAGGCAGAUGAAAACAGAGGAAAAGCAGAUCACUUCUUGUGUACCGCUGAGGCUGAGAGCAAGGAUUGGCUGCAGAUGGGCAUGUUGGAAAUCUUUGUGGUAACGGAACUGUUUUAAAAGCGGAUUGUGGUGAUGGUUGCAGAAUCCUAUGCAGUGACUAAAAAAUCAUUGAUCUGUGUAUUUACAAUGAGUGGAUUUUAUUGUAUUGAAUUGUACCCCAAUAAAGCUGUUAUAGAAUGCUAAACCAUAAAAACAAACCUCCAAACACAGCAACAGGCAGUUAGUGAUUCCCUGGGAUCAGCUCAGGUGACAGUUGCAUUGUGCAAAAUGAUUCCUGUGACCCAGAGUAUAAUUAAUGUUUACAUAAUGCUUUACCGCAGCCUUGGAGGGCAGGUAACUUGCACCUUGAAACUUGAAGGUCUUGCUAGUAUUGCUUGUAAUCAAAGUAAAGUAAUUGUAUAAAUAAACAAGGUGUGAAUAAAUUUAA